UCUACCUCUCCUUAAGAGCCUUGACGAUCAGGUCGACGUAACGCACACGGGAACUCCAUCGGCUCGCCGUUCGGGGACAUCACCGUUGACGCUCCGGAGCUAGAGGAUCUGGAGGUGAACUGCAUCACUGGCUGCACCGCCGAGUACAAGUCGUUCACGCUGUGGGCGCCGAUGCUGAGCUACCUGUACUGGCACAACCAAUUCGCAUAGAGCGUGGCCAUCGACGUUGGUAGCCCGGGCAGCGUCACCGCGGGGAAGAUCCAGUUCGAGUGGAAGCACGAGAGUAGCUGCCGCGAGCUGAAGAGCUACAAGGCACAGAUGAUGCGGAUGCUGGAGGGCCUCAUCCCGGAGCUGUCGCCGAAGCGUGUCGCCGACGCUGCCAGGCCUCACAUGACGCUCGACAAGUACACCAUGGAGGGCAUUGACUUUGUGGAGGACGGCAAGAUGAUCCCCGAGGAGAGGCUCGCCUGCGACCUCGAUGCCAUCAUGUCGCUGCUAAAGGACUGAACGCCAUUGGCGUGUCAGUUGCUUCUAACAAAGAUGCAGGGCAAGUGGAAUUCUGAACUUUGGACCGCCGCACCGAUUGUGCAUGAGUUUGACUGGAAUAGCAAGUUCAUUUCUUCUUUUUCUUAGAAAGAGACCUGAUUUUGCCUGAUGAUCUCAAGAUAUUUGAUGUUUCCUGCACCAUGUUAUCUUGCCAAUGAAUUCUACUGUCGUUCUUGUUCUAGAAAUGAAAUGCCCAAUAGUUCUUGACCA
Molecule: long non-coding RNA, 756 nt
Organism: Setaria italica (foxtail millet)
Lineage: Eukaryota; Viridiplantae; Streptophyta; Magnoliopsida; Poales; Poaceae
Exons: 2
Source: RefSeq, a predicted model, not a curated record